CGGUCGGCGCCCCUCGGCCCGCAAGGCCUCCCGGGAGUCGUGGUCUGGGCUCCGGCUGCCCUGCUCGCGGCGCGGAGCCGGGCGCGCCUCUCCCAACCUGUUUCCUGGGGUCUCUACUAUCGGCCUGGAUCUGCAGGUCCUCCGGGCGCCCGCUCCCCACGACGUGCCAGGCCCUGGGCCUGCGCCUGAUCCCUGCGAUCCCGGGCUCUGCCAGGCUGUUGGUGGAGACGCGAGGGAAGCACAGCCCGGCCCAUCUUCGGGAUCCUGGAGGAGGCACUCAGCCAGGACGUCUGCGAGGGCUCCCCGGAGGAAACGAGCUGGGAACUGAAAGGACUAGAAUGGAGGAGAGAGUUCCAGAAAGAGGGAGCCUGGAUGGGGAAAGUGCUUGCUUCGGCCCCCAUGUGCUGCAAGGGCCCCCAUGCAGACCUUCCCCCACUACAGGAACUGGUUCAGCAGAGCAUGUUCAAUCCAGGCCAGUGAGACUGGAGCACAAGGCUUGGAGGACAGAGAGGUUUCCCUCCUACGAGACCUGCCAGGGAGAGAUGGCCCUUCUUCCUCCAGACAUGUGAGGUUGGAACUGCUACCAGCUUGGAGACAGAGCUCCUGGAUCAGGCAUGUCCUGAAGUCUACCCUAUUUUGGAUUGCCAGUUAUAGAAGCUAAUAAUUCCCCUUUUGAAGCCCUCAGAGCUCCUGAGAGCCUCUCUUGGGACAGGUCAUCAUCAACGUAUUUCCUCGAUAUCAAAUGAAAUGGGUUUGAAUAACAACACAGGAUGUAAGAAA
Molecule: long non-coding RNA, 780 nt
Organism: Balaenoptera ricei (Rice's whale)
Lineage: Eukaryota; Metazoa; Chordata; Mammalia; Artiodactyla; Balaenopteridae
Exons: 2
Source: RefSeq, a predicted model, not a curated record